This 438-nucleotide ribosomal RNA is filed under the name Babesia occultans. Its description in RNAcentral is "SSU rRNA". It matches the Rfam family "Eukaryotic small subunit ribosomal RNA", at positions 498 to 999 of the family's 1831-position model. The record is from RNAcentral. Lineage: Eukaryota; Apicomplexa; Aconoidasida; Piroplasmida; Babesiidae.
CUGUCUUGUAAUUGGAAUGAUGGUGACUUAAACCCUCACCAGAGUACCAAUUGGAGGGCAAGUCUGGUGCCAGCAGCCGCGGUAAUUCCAGCUCCAAUAGCGUAUAUUAAACUUGUUGCAGUUAAAAAGCUCGUAGUUGAAUUUCAGCGUUUCGCGUGUGCCUCUUUUGGCCCAUCUCGUCUCGCUUUUUUUAUUACUUUGAGAAAAUUAGAGUGUUUCAAGCAGGCUUUUGUCUUGAAUACUUGAGCAUGGAAUAAUAGAGUAGGACCUUGGUUCUAUUUUGUUGGUUUUGUUACCUUGGUAAUGGUUAAUAGGAACGGUUGGGGGCAUUCGUAUUUAACUGUCAGAGGUGAAAUUCUUAGAUUUGUUAAAGACGAACUACUGCGAAAGCAUUUGCCAAGGACGUUUCCAUUAAUCAAGAACGAAAGUUAGGGGAUC